UACGUAGGUGGCAAGCGUUGUCCGGAUUUAUUGGGUUUAAAGGGUGCGUAGGCGGUCUAUUAAGUCAGUUGUGAAAUACGGCAGCUCAACUGUCGAGGUGCAAUUGAUACUGAUGGACUUGAGUACUGAUGAGGUAAGCGGAAUGGACGGUGUAGCGGUGAAAUGCUUAGAUAUCGGAAGGAACAUCAGUGGCGAAGGCGACUUCCUGGACCAAUACUGACGCUCAGGUGCGAAAGCGUGGGGAGCAAACAGG
Molecule: ribosomal RNA, 253 nt
Filed under: uncultured bacterium
Lineage: Bacteria
Description: partial 16S ribosomal RNA
Rfam family: Bacterial small subunit ribosomal RNA
Source: RNAcentral